UGAACAGAAGGUUAUUGUGACAGGUAUGAACAGAAGGUUAUUGUGACAGGGGUAUGAACAGAAGGUUAUUGUGACGGGUAUGAACAGGGGGUUAUUGUGACAGGUAUGAACAGAAGGUUAUUGUGAUGGGUAUGAACAGAAGGUUAUUGUGACAGGUAUGAACAGAAGCUUAUUGUGAUGGGUAUGAACAGAAGGUUAUUGUGACGGGUAUGAACAGAAGGUUAUUGUGAC
Molecule: long non-coding RNA, 231 nt
Organism: Oncorhynchus keta (chum salmon)
Lineage: Eukaryota; Metazoa; Chordata; Actinopteri; Salmoniformes; Salmonidae
Exons: 3
Source: RefSeq, a predicted model, not a curated record